This 337-nucleotide ribosomal RNA is filed under the name uncultured Bacillota bacterium. RNAcentral describes it as "bacterial SSU rRNA". It matches the Rfam family "Bacterial small subunit ribosomal RNA", at positions 28 to 351 of the family's 1533-position model. The record is from RNAcentral. Lineage: Bacteria; Bacillati; Bacillota.
GACGAACGCUGGCGGCGUGCCUAAUACAUGCAAGUCGAGCGGAUUGAUGAGGGAGCUUGCUCCCGAUUCGGUUAGCGGCGGACGGGUGAGUAACACGUAGGCAACCUGCCUGCAAGCUCGGGAUAACAUCCGGAAACGGAUGCUAAUACCGGAUACGCAGCAUGAUCGCAUGAUCGAGCUGAGAAAGGCGGAGCAAUCUGCCGCUUGCAGAUGGGCCUGCGGCGCAUUAGCUAGUUGGUGAGGUAACGGCUCACCAAGGCGACGAUGCGUAGCCGACCUGAGAGGGUGAUCGGCCACACUGGGACUGAGACACGGCCCAGACUCCUACGGGAGGCAG